ACGCCUAAGGUGAGGGUACUAAAGGCUCAAGGUCCUCAUCCCAAAAGAUAAAAAUAGUUUACCCACCGCUACUAUCGUCGGUCAGUGCUAUCUUUAUCAGUUGGGAUGAACAGGUUUAUGUAAGUAAUGGAUUACCAUGAGUAUCCACUCGCAGAUUCCACCCAUAAACCCUCCUAAGGUCCUAGAUUGGGCGAUCGGGGUUUUAGACCGCGGUUGUGUGUGCAGUGUCGUGCUAAAGCUUGUAAACAUGCAUUUAAAUUUAAACAUCCAGCACUUCAAUAUAAACCCACAUACAUUCAUACAUCCUUACACCACCUGCAAAACAAAUGGUUUACAAGCACGCCUCCCCUUAUAACUCCCACCUACAAAACCAUUUAACACGGGGUUAGCGACUAACCUGAUUUUCCACGCGACUUUGACAUGCAGGCGAUCCUACAUAAGACAUGCUAGUUAAAACACAACAACCAUUUUUAAACGGCUUCAAGUCCUCUUAACCUAGUAACCAGUCCCCAGUGGAGUCGCCAAGCCUGUCGCGACCCCAUCUCGCCGCCCCUCGAGAAGUAUCCAAGGUGGGGAAAGGUCGGGUUUAGGGGUACUAGAUCUCGAGAUCGCGAGCUCUCCCAAGCUCGUACCCCGCGUGACAGUAGGUUUAUUUAUACGAUCUAGGUAUUUAACAACCUAAAAAAUAUACAGGAGUCGCCACUAGCCUCAUUUUUGGGGGUCGGCUAGAAACCCAAUCGAGGGUCGGGAGUAUUCCCUCGAUUCCUACGCAACCAGAUAUCUAGGUUCGGGGACUUGGGUUACGCUAAUAUUGCUAUUAGCGCCCUUUCGGUACCUAAACAGGAUGUUGUGUUUUUCCUAACAUGUCCAUGCAUUUCUUUUUAUAUUUUCAGGAUCGUCA
This 901-nucleotide long non-coding RNA is filed under the name Eucalyptus grandis. RNAcentral describes it as "long non-coding RNA (EGRA_LNC005714)". The record is from RNAcentral. Lineage: Eukaryota; Viridiplantae; Streptophyta; Magnoliopsida; Myrtales; Myrtaceae.